Non-coding RNA from Mycena epipterygia, 97 nucleotides. The record is from the annotation of a GenBank genome assembly. Lineage: Eukaryota; Fungi; Basidiomycota; Agaricomycetes; Agaricales; Mycenaceae.
GUGCUAUUGGUGCAGGGGUAACACACAACCUCAUCUUUGAUCUCUCUUUCCAACAAAAAUUUGGGUUGGGUCCUGGGUUCGACUCCCAGACGGCACG